This 253-nucleotide ribosomal RNA is filed under the name uncultured bacterium. Its description in RNAcentral is "partial 16S ribosomal RNA". It matches the Rfam family "Bacterial small subunit ribosomal RNA", at positions 524 to 776 of the family's 1533-position model. The record is from RNAcentral.
UACGUAGGGUGCGAGCGUUAAUCGGAAUUACUGGGCGUAAAGCGUGCGCAGGCGGUUUUGUAAGACCGGCGUGAAAUCCCCGGGCUCAACCUGGGAAUUGCGCUUGUGACUGCAAGGCUAGAGUGCGUCAGAGGGGGGUAGAAUUCCACGUGUAGCAGUGAAAUGCGUAGAGAUGUGGAGGAAUACCGAUGGCGAAGGCAGCCCCCUGGGACGUGACUGACGCUCAGGCACGAAAGCGUGGGGAGCAAACAGG